This 592-nucleotide ribosomal RNA is filed under the name uncultured bacterium. Its description in RNAcentral is "bacterial SSU rRNA". It matches the Rfam family "Bacterial small subunit ribosomal RNA", at positions 334 to 917 of the family's 1533-position model. The record is from RNAcentral.
UACUCCUACGGGAGGCAGCAGUAGGGAAUCUUCGGCAAUGGACGGAAGUCUGACCGAGCAACGCCGCGUGAGUGAAGAAGGUUUUCGGAUCGUAAAGCUCUGUUGUAAGAGAAGAACGAGUGUGAGAGUGGAAAGUUCACACUGUGACGGUAUCUUACCAGAAAGGGACGGCUAACUACGUGCCAGCAGCCGCGGUAAUACGUAGGUCCCGAGCGUUAUCCGGAUUUAUUGGGCGUAAAGCGAGCGCAGGCGGUUAGAUAAGUCUGAAGUUAAAGGCUGUGGCUUAACCAUAGUACGCUUUGGAAACUGUUUAACUUGAGUGCAAGAGGGGAGAGUGGAAUUCCAUGUGUAGCGGUGAAAUGCGUAGAUAUAUGGAGGAACACCGGUGGCGAAAGCGGCUCUCUGGCUUGUAACUGACGCUGAGGCUCGAAAGCGUGGGGAGCAAACAGGAUUAGAUACCCUGGUAGUCCACGCCGUAAACGAUGAGUGCUAGGUGUUAGACCCUUUCCGGGGUUUAGUGCCGUAGCUAACGCAUUAAGCACUCCGCCUGGGGAGUACGACCGCAAGGUUGAAACUCAAAGGAAUUGACGGA